Molecule: ribosomal RNA, 1903 nt
Filed under: Yersinia ruckeri
Lineage: Bacteria; Pseudomonadati; Pseudomonadota; Gammaproteobacteria; Enterobacterales; Yersiniaceae
Description: bacterial LSU rRNA
Rfam family: Bacterial large subunit ribosomal RNA
Source: RNAcentral
GGGUUGUGAGGUUAAGCGACUAAGCGUACACGGUGGAUGCCUAGGCAGUCAGAGGCGAUGAAGGGCGUGCUAAUCUGCGAAAAGCGUCGGUAAGCUGAUAUGAAGCGUAAUAACCGACGAUACCCGAAUGGGGAAACCCAGUGCAAUUCGUUGCACUAUUGCAUGGUGAAUACAUAGCCAUGCAAGGCGAACCGGGGGAACUGAAACAUCUAAGUACCCCGAGGAAAAGAAAUCAACCGAGAUUCCCCCAGUAGCGGCGAGCGAACGGGGAAGAGCCCAGAGUCUGAAUCAGUUGGUGUGUUAGUGGAAGCGUCUGGAAAGUCGCACGGUACAGGGUGAUAGUCCCGUACACAAAAACACACUGGCUGUGAACUCGAUGAGUAGGGCGGGACACGUGACAUCCUGUCUGAAUAUGGGGGGACCAUCCUCCAAGGCUAAAUACUCCUGACUGACCGAUAGUGAACCAGUACCGUGAGGGAAAGGCGAAAAGAACCCCGGCGAGGGGAGUGAAAUAGAACCUGAAACCGUGUACGUACAAGCAGUGGGAGCACCUUCGUGGUGUGACUGCGUACCUUUUGUAUAAUGGGUCAGCGACUUAUAUUUUGUAGCAAGGUUAACCGAAUAGGGGAGCCGUAGGGAAACCGAGUCUUAACUGGGCGUCUAGUUGCAAGGUAUAGACCCGAAACCCGGUGAUCUAGCCAUGGGCAGGUUGAAGGUUGGGUAACACUAACUGGAGGACCGAACCGACUAAUGUUGAAAAAUUAGCGGAUGACUUGUGGCUGGGGGUGAAAGGCCAAUCAAACCGGGAGAUAGCUGGUUCUCCCCGAAAGCUAUUUAGGUAGCGCCUCGUGAACUCAUCUUCGGGGGUAGAGCACUGUUUCGGCUAGGGGUCCAUCCCGGAUUACCAAACCGAUGCAAACUCCGAAUACCGAAGAAUGUUAUCACGGGAGACACACGGCGGGUGCUAACGUCCGUCGUGAAGAGGGAAACAACCCAGACCGCCAGCUAAGGUCCCAAAGUCAUGGUUAAGUGGGAAACGAUGUGGGAAGGCAUAGACAGCCAGGAUGUUGGCUUAGAAGCAGCCAUCAUUUAAAGAAAGCGUAAUAGCUCACUGGUCGAGUCGGCCUGCGCGGAAGAUGUAACGGGGCUAAACCAUGCACCGAAGCUGCGGCAGCGACGCUUAGGCGUUGUUGGGUAGGGGAGCGUUCUGUAAGCCGUUGAAGGUGGCCUGUGAGGGCUGCUGGAGGUAUCAGAAGUGCGAAUGCUGACAUAAGUAACGAUAAUGCGGGUGAAAAACCCGCACGCCGGAAGACCAAGGGUUCCUGUCCAACGUUAAUCGGGGCAGGGUGAGUCGACCCCUAAGGCGAGGCUGAAAAGCGUAGUCGAUGGGAAACAGGUUAAUAUUCCUGUACUGGGUGUGACUGCGAAGGGGGGACGGAGAAGGCUAGGCUAGCCGGGCGACGGUUGUCCCGGUUUAAGCAUGUAGGCGGAGCGACUUGGUAAAUCCGGUUGCUUAUCAACGCUGAGGUGUGAUGACGAGCCACUACGGUGGUGAAGUAGUUGAUGCCAAGCUUCCAGGAAAAGCCUCUAAGCAUCAGGUGACAUUCAAUCGUACCCCAAACCGACACAGGUGGUCAGGUAGAGAAUACUCAGGCGCUUGAGAGAACUCGGGUGAAGGAACUAGGCAAAAUGGUGCCGUAACUUCGGGAGAAGGCACGCUGGCAUUAGGUAAAGAGACUUGCUCUCGGCGCCGAAGCCAGUCGCAGAUACCAGCUGGCUGCAACUGUUUAAUAAAAACACAGCACUGUGCAAACACGAAAGUGGACGUAUACGGUGUGACGCCUGCCCGGUGCUGGAAGGUUAAUUGAUGGGGUCAGCCGCAAGGCGAAGCUCUUGAUCGAAG